This 587-nucleotide long non-coding RNA is filed under the name Phoenix dactylifera (date palm). RNAcentral's name for it is "long non-coding RNA (PDAC_LNC014024)". Lineage: Eukaryota; Viridiplantae; Streptophyta; Magnoliopsida; Arecales; Arecaceae. The record is from RNAcentral.
ACUUCAAAACAACAUGCCAGUAACAGAAAUGUUUUUCAUGGCCCUAUCAUAUGUUUUUCCCAGUAUAAUAAGAUGGCCAAAGGUUAAAUCCAUAUAAAUGUUUCAAUGUGAUGGCCUAUCUCAAUAGGCAAACCUUUGGUACUAUACUUGCUUGGUACUAUACUUGCUUAGAUAAUUAACAAUUGCCCAAUUCCACACCCAAGUUCUAUCAUUCUAAUUUGUAGAUGUACAGUUCAAUUAUGUAUCCUUAUUCAAAAGGCAAACUACUCUCCUCCACCUAUGUUGCAUCAUUGGUUCUGUCGAAGACAACUUAGCUUGUUGGAAUCAAACAUUCUUAGAUCACUACUUGAAUCUUUAUUCUUUUUCUUUAGAGAAGAGCUUGAAUCAAGAAUCUUUACGUUAUUCACCACCCUUAUGAAGAAAGUAUUUUAAAUGCUAUUUGUAGAGCAUAAUCCAGCACAAAAUCAUUUUAUUUUACCGCUUUGAACCAGUGUUGCAGCUAUGUGCUCUGCUGCAGAACAAUGUAGAGUGUUGCAGCUAUGUGCUCUGCUGCAGAACAAUGUAGAGUUCAUAUCAGUGCAUUGGAC